GAAACAUUUGAAGUGACUUAGUGGCGGACGGGUGAGUAACGCGUGGGUAACCUGCCCUGUACUGGGGGACAACAGUUGGAAACGGCUGCUAAUACCGCAUAAGCGCACAGCAUCGCAUGGUGCAGUGUGAAAAACUCCGGUGGUACAGGAUGGACCCGCGUCUGAUUAGCUAGUUGGUGGGGUAACGGCCUACCAAGGCGACGAUCAGUAGCCGGCCUGAGAGGGUGAACGGCCACAUUGGGACUGAGACACGGCCCAGACUCCUACGGGAGGCAGCAGUGGGGAAUAUUGCACAAUGGGCGCAAGCCUGAUGCAGCGACGCCGCGUGAGUGAUGAAGUAUUUCGGUAUGUAAAGCUCUAUCAGCAGGGAAGAAAAUGACGGUACCUGACUAAGAAGCACCGGCUAAAUACGUGCCAGCAGCCGCGGUAAUACGUAUGGUGCAAGCGUUAUCCGGAUUUACUGGGUGUAAAGGGAGCGUAGGCGGCAUGGCAAGUCAGAUGUGAAAGCCCGGGGCCCAACCCCGGAACUGCAUUUGAAACUGUCAGGCUAGAGUACCGGAGAGGUAAGCGGAAUUCCUAGUGUAGCGGUGAAAUGCGUA
RNAcentral lists this ribosomal RNA (599 nucleotides) under uncultured bacterium. RNAcentral describes it as "bacterial SSU rRNA". It matches the Rfam family "Bacterial small subunit ribosomal RNA", at positions 70 to 692 of the family's 1533-position model. The record is from RNAcentral.